GAUGAACGCUGGCGGCGUGCCUAAUACAUGCAAGUCGAGCGAACGGACGAGAAGUUUGCUUCUCUGAUGUUAGCGGGGGACGGGUGAGUAACAUGUGGAUAACCUACUUAUUAGACUGGGAUAACUUCGGGAAACAGUAGCUAAUACUGGAUAAUAUUUUGAACCGCAUGGUUCAAAAGUGAAUGACGGUCUUGCUGUCACUUAUAGAUGGUUCCGCGCUGGAUUAGCUAGGUGGUAAGGUAACGGCCUAGCAAGGGAACGAUGCAUAGCCGACCUGAGAGGGUGAUCGGCCACACUGGAACUGAGACACGGUCCAGACUCCUACGGUAGGCAGCAGUAGGGAAUCUUCGGCAAUGGGCGCAAGCCUGACGCAGCAACGCCGCGUGUGUGAGGAAGGUCUUCGGAUCGUAAAGCUCUGUUUUUAGGGAAGAACAUCUGUUUAAGUAAACGUGGCCGUCUUGACGGUACCGAAACAGAAAGCCACGGCUAACUUCGUG
RNAcentral lists this ribosomal RNA (497 nucleotides) under uncultured bacterium. RNAcentral describes it as "partial 16S ribosomal RNA". It matches the Rfam family "Bacterial small subunit ribosomal RNA", at positions 28 to 507 of the family's 1533-position model. The record is from RNAcentral.